CGCCUUGCCAGCCCGCUCAAGAAACUUAAAGGAAGUUCGACGGGGCCCGCACAAGCGGUGGAGCAUGUGGUUUAAUUCGAUGAUACGCGAGGAACCUUACCUGGGCUCAAAUGUAUGUUGACGUAUUCUGAAAGGGAUACUUCUUCGGACAAUAUACAAGGUGCUGCAUGGUUGUCGUCAGCUCGUGCCGUGAGGUGCCGGGUUAAGUCCCAUAACGAGCGCAACCCCUAUCAUUAGUUGCCAUCAGGUCAAGCUGGGGACUCUAAUGAAACUGCCUACGCAAGUAGUGAGGAAGGUGGGGAUGACGUCAAAUCAGCACGGCCCUUACGGCCUGGGCUACACACGUGCUACAAUGGUCGGUACAAAGGGUUGCCAAGCCGCGAGGUGGAGCUAAUCCCAUAAAACCGAUCGUAGUCCGGAUCGCAGUCUGCAACUCGACUGCGUGAAGUCGGAAUCGCUAGUAAUCGUGAAUCAGAAUGUCACGGUGAAUACGUCCCGGGCCUU
RNAcentral lists this ribosomal RNA (504 nucleotides) under uncultured Sphingobacteriales bacterium. RNAcentral's name for it is "bacterial SSU rRNA". It matches the Rfam family "Bacterial small subunit ribosomal RNA", at positions 903 to 1382 of the family's 1533-position model. Lineage: Bacteria; Pseudomonadati; Bacteroidota; Sphingobacteriia; Sphingobacteriales. The record is from RNAcentral.